This 69-nucleotide antisense RNA is filed under the name Saccharothrix australiensis. RNAcentral's name for it is "ASpks TB sRNA". It matches the Rfam family "ASpks TB sRNA". Lineage: Bacteria; Bacillati; Actinomycetota; Actinomycetes; Pseudonocardiales; Pseudonocardiaceae. The record is from Rfam by way of RNAcentral.
CUUCACCGAACCCAACCACAGUGGCCGAUCCCGCUCCUGACCGUAAGUCGCCAGGAUCGCCUGCGCCUC